CCUACGGGUGACAGCAGUGAGGAAUAUUGGUCAAUGGACGAGAGUCUGAACCAGCCAAGUAGCGUGAAGGAUGACUGCCCUAUGGGUUGUAAACUUCUUUUAUAAGGGAAUAAAACGAGGCACGUGUGCCUUUUUGCAUGUACUGUAUGAAUAAGGAUCGGCUAACUCCGUGCCAGCAGCCGCGGUAAUACGGAGGAUCCGAGCGUUAUCCGGAUUUAUUGGGUUUAAAGGGAGCGUAGAUGGGUUGUUAAGUCAGUUGUGAAAGUUUGCGGCUCAACCGUAAAAUUGCAAUUGAUACUGGCAGUCUUGAGUACAGUUGAGGUAGGCGGAAUUCGUGGUGUAGCGGUGAAAUGCUUAGAUAUCACGAAGAACCCCGAUUGCGAAGGCAGCUUACUAAACUGCGACUGACAUUGAUGCUCGAAAGUGUGGGGAUCAAACAGGAUUAGAUACCCGAGUAGUC
Molecule: ribosomal RNA, 460 nt
Filed under: uncultured bacterium
Lineage: Bacteria
Description: partial 16S ribosomal RNA
Rfam family: Bacterial small subunit ribosomal RNA
Source: RNAcentral